AAAGAAACUAACAAGGAUUCCCCUAGUAACGGCGAGUGAAGCGGGAAAAGCUCAAAUUUGUAAUCUGGCGCCUUGGGCGUCCGAGUUGUAAUCUCGAGAAGUAUUUUCCGCGCUGGACCGCACAUAAGUCUGUUGGAAUACAGCGUCAUAGUGGUGAGAACCCCGUAUAGGGUGCGGAUGCCCAGUGCUUUGUGAUAUACUUUCGAAGAGUCGAGUUGUUUGGGAAUGCAGCUCAAAUUGGGUGGUAAAUUCCAUCUAAAGCUAAAUAUUGGCGAGAGACCGAUAGCGAACAAGUACCGUGAGGGAAAGAUGAAAAGCACUUUGGAAAGAGAGUUAACAGUACGUGAAAUUGUUGGAAGGGAAACGCUUGAAGUCAGACUUGCAUUUUGGAGUUCAGCCGCAAGGUGUAUUCUUCAAUUCGCAGGCCAGCAUCAGUUUUUGGGGGUGGAAAAGCGCGGUUCGAAGGUAGCAGUCUCGGCUGUGUUAUAGCUUGCCGCUGGAUUCACUUUUGGGGACUGAGGAACGCAGUACACUUUUUGCMAGAUUCUCGGAUCUUUCGUACUUAGGAUGCUGGUGGAAUGGCUUUAAACGACCCGUCUUGAAACACGGACCAAGGAGUCUAACAUGCUUGCGAGUGUUUGGGUGUUAAACCCGGACGCGUAAUGAAAGUGAAUGGAGGUGGGAUCCGCAAGGUGCACCAUCGACCGAUCUGGAUUUUCUAAGAUGGAUUUGAGUAAGAGCAAUUAUGUUGGGACCCGAAAGAUGGUGAACUAUGCCUGAAUAGGGUGAAGCCAGAGGAAACUCUGGUGGAGGCUCGUAGCGGUUCUGACGUGCAAAUCGAUCGUCAAAUUUGGGUAUAGGGGCGAAAGACUAAUCGAACCAUCUAAUGUUGCUUGGUGGUUAAUAGGGACUUCAAAGUAGAGCCCUAGUGGGAGUGGUAACUUGCGACACUUUCAAAUUGCGGGGACGCCCUUAGAGCUCUGAUUACGGCGGCUCAUCGAAAGAUAGAGUGCAGCAGCAGGUUAAUGGCCUCGCGGAUCGUAAAAACAUCAGAGAUUGGGUAAUCCGCAGCCAAGUCCUAAAGGGUACCUUUCAGCUACCCCAUGGAUGCAGUUCAUCGACUAAAUGGAAGUGGGUGCCCUUCCUUUACCGGAAGGGUGCUUGAGAUAUAGUCAGCCCCUCGUGAGAGCGAGCUAAUGGGACUAAGAGUCGCUUCGUUUUUACCACUUGCAAACGACGAUUCCCGAGCCCAUUGGGGUCUAAGAGGAAAUAGUAAAACUCGAAGACUGGAUUACGUGCUAGUAGCUGGUUCCUGCCGAAGUUUCCCUCAGGAUAGCAGAAACUCACAUCAGUUCUAUGAGGUAAAGCGAAUGAUUAGAGGCCUUGGGGUUGAAACAACCUUAACCUAUUCUCAAACUUUAAAUAUGUAGGAAGUCCUGCUACUUGAUGAGCGA
This 1454-nucleotide ribosomal RNA is filed under the name Microbotryum saponariae. RNAcentral describes it as "LSU rRNA". It matches the Rfam family "Eukaryotic large subunit ribosomal RNA", at positions 58 to 1102 of the family's 3401-position model. The record is from RNAcentral. Lineage: Eukaryota; Fungi; Basidiomycota; Microbotryomycetes; Microbotryales; Microbotryaceae.